CCCAGGUUACACCUCCCCUUCCAGGCAGGUGUUAUCAGGCACCCUCCUACCAGCUUGGUAUGGAGUUGAGAAGAAAAAUUUAAUAGCUGAGCUUGUUAAUGUGACAAAAGUGGCCAUAACCAGUGAUGGGUGGACAAGUUUCACACAGGAUCAUUAUGUCACUGUCACACUCCACUAUGUGAAUGAGGGCCAGCUAAUGCACAAAGUACUAUCAACCCAGGCAGUGUAUGAGUCACAGAGUGGUCCAGUUGUAGCUGAAGAGAUAGGAGACGUGCUUGCAGAGUUUGGUGUUAGAGCAAAAGUCUUAGCCAUGACAGUAGAUAAUGCAGCCAACAUGGACGUUGCUGCACGAGAGCUCCAAAUCAGAAAACUUGGCUGCUGUGCACACACUCUCAGUACAAAGGUCUACACCGUCCAAACUGUCGCCAAGUGGUCUGCGAGAAUCCGGGACUGUGUUGUGUGGAUCAAGAGAUCUUCCAUUGUGAAGAACGUGGUUGAGGAGAAGCAGAGACUUCUGGGUAAGAAACUAAGCCUCUCAUUGUUUCAGUAUUAUCACUCAGACAGGAGCCACAGCAGGACUACGUAUCUAAACUGAUUACCAUGUGUGUUUCCAUAUGUUUCAGGCAUGCCUGUCUAUAAUGCUGUCCUGGAUGUGAGGACCCGCUGGAACUCGCUGUAUCUCAUGGUGGAAAGAUCUAUUGAGAUAUACCCAGCCAUACAAGCUGCCCUCUUGGACCCACGAGCCAAAAAGCUGAUGAAGUGAGACAGAGGAUGAGGAUGUGACGAUGUCGAUGACUGAAGCUGACUCCAGGGAGAUGGAGAAGAGGAUGAUGAAGAGGAGGAGAAUCAUCCAAAACCAGUAUCUGCACUGGGAGAACUCUUCGCAGAGGAAGACAGACAGCUGCAAAGACAGCUCAGUCGACAGCAGCAGAGUGCACCAACAACAGUCCGAGAGAGACUGAAAAAAGAGGUGGCAGUUUAUAGAGAUCUUCCCCCUAUCCCCACUGAACAAGACCCUGUCCACUGGUGGUGGGGUAAGAAAGACACACUUCCCUUACUCUCACAA
This is a non-coding RNA of Epinephelus lanceolatus (giant grouper), 1066 nucleotides long. The record is from RefSeq and is a predicted model, not a curated record. NCBI's taxonomy places the organism in Eukaryota, Metazoa, Chordata, Actinopteri, Perciformes, Serranidae.